RNAcentral lists this ribosomal RNA (602 nucleotides) under uncultured marine bacterium. RNAcentral describes it as "bacterial SSU rRNA". It matches the Rfam family "Bacterial small subunit ribosomal RNA", at positions 68 to 655 of the family's 1533-position model. The record is from RNAcentral.
GAGUUAUCUGAACCUUCGGGGAACGAUAACGGCGUCGAGCGGCGGACGGGUGAGUAAUGCCCAGGAAAUUGCCCUGAUGUGGGGGAUAACCAUUGGAAACGAUGGCUAAUACCGCAUGAUGCCUACGGGCCAAAGAGGGGGACCUUCGGGCCUCUCGCGUCAGGAUAUGCCUAGGUGGGAUUAGCUAGUUGGUGAGGUAAGGGCUCACCAAGGCGACGAUCCCUAGCUGGUCUGAGAGGAUGAUCAGCCACACUGGAACUGAGACACGGUCCAGACUCCUACGGGAGGCAGCAGUGGGGAAUAUUGCACAAUGGGCGCAAGCCUGAUGCAGCCAUGCCGCGUGUAUGAAGAAGGCCUUCGGGUUGUAAAGUACUUUCAGUCGUGAGGAAGGCGGCGUCGUUAAUAGCGGCGUUGUUUGACGUUAGCGACAGAAGAAGCACCGGCUAACUCCGUGCCAGCAGCCGCGGUAAUACGGAGGGUGCGAGCGUUAAUCGGAAUUACUGGGCGUAAAGCGCAUGCAGGUGGUUUGUUAAGUCAGAUGUGAAAGCCCGGGGCUCAACCUCGGAAUUGCAUUUGAAACUGGCAGACUAGAGUACUGUAGA